RNAcentral lists this long non-coding RNA (2099 nucleotides) under Trifolium pratense (red clover). RNAcentral's name for it is "long non-coding RNA (TPRA_LNC007708)". The record is from RNAcentral. Lineage: Eukaryota; Viridiplantae; Streptophyta; Magnoliopsida; Fabales; Fabaceae.
GCCAGCUCGCGGUUUAUGAAGUCGACAAAGUGCUUCUUCCUCGCGAUUUCUUUGUUGCUAAACCUCCAGCACCGGCUCCAGCACCUGAAAAAGCUAAGGCAUCGUCGUCUAAGAAGAAAUCUGCUGAUAACGAUGUAGUUGCAGGAGACGAUGAUUCUACUUCUGCUGCUAGUGUGAAACAGCGGUGUCUCAUUUCUGUUCCUGUUGCAGUUGCUACAAUUAUAGUAGCAUUAUUUUCAUGGUGAAGAAGAUUAUAUAUCAAAGUUUAAAGAUCAUGCAACUGGGGUGGAUUAAUUGAUCUACAUUUUGCAGAUUUAUAUAUAAUGCUCUUUCAAUGAUUGUGUUGUUAAUUUUUCUUUAUUUCUUAUUUCUCAUAUGUAUGCUGGUGUUAUAAGAAAAAAUGAAUCUAUGCAAAAUUGAGAAAGCUUCAUAUGAAAAAAAUUAAAUAUCUAGAACCUAUGUUAUUAGGAAAAAUCAUCUCAAUGAUAUAUAUAUGUUUUUCUUGAGUUUGCACAAGACCACCACUACAUUAUGCUAAAAUCUUAUGAGAGUAGGAGUGGGAUGAAUUGAUUCUAAGACCAAUUAUGUUUGAAAUUCUGUAUGGUAUUUGUUUAACUAUGUAAUGAUACAAAGUAAGUGACCAUAUAUGAGUUGUUUACUUUGAUUAUGUUGCAUGUUUUAUUUUUGUUAAUUCAGCUACUUUAGAAUAUUGGUUUUCUUGUGUUUAUAUUGUGAUUUCAUAUAUAUAUGAAUUGGUUUAGAGUCCUUGUUUACUUUUAUGAAUUUACUAAACAAUAAGUACAAAUUUGCAUUAUGCAAUGAUACUAGUAUGCCUAUCGAAAUCAUGAGCAUCAACAUUUUGGUUCCAGAUCCAAGUAGUUAUCAGGUCUCUUAGCUAUUGUUCUUGAGAAAUGACCAGGUUUUGCCCAUUGCUCGAAACAAGUUUUUAUGGGAUCCCUAUCUAUCAAAAUUUUGACUUUUGGUUCGGGCGAACGAAUAGUAAGUGACCAUAUGAGCUUGUCGCUACUUAUAAAACAACUUACCUAUAAAUAAAAUUGCACUUAAUAGUAACAUAAUUAUUUUUAAUCUGCAUAAAUAAGUAUCAUCUGACAUAUAUUAUCAACGCAAUGCCUAUUAAUGCCGUCUAUACAAUCAUCAUCAGAAUUGCAGGAAGUUGGAGCUGCAUUGUCAAAUAAGGAAAAAGAAAGGUUAAUUAAUAAUAUUGUGUAUAAAAUAAAUUAAAAAAUGGUGUGAAAAAUGAGAUUUCAGAUUUCAACGAUAUUGGCACCUCAAAAUCACUAUAUAUCAUUUAAUAAAUUUAUUAAAAUAAAAUAAAACAAUGAUAUAAUGAGCCCUUUUGUUUUAGCUUUAAAAAAAAAAAACUUUGUAUUUUUUAAAAAAACAUUUUAUGAUAACUUAAUUAAAAAUAGUAAAAGUUAUUUAAAAUUCAUCAUUUUACAAAUUAAAAGAGUGAUUUUGAUAUUUAGUAAUUUUUUUAAGACAAAGAUAUUUAGUAACUUAAAUAUCGAUGUUAGUGAUUUUAGCUUAAUAAAAAUCACACUUUUUUAAAAGGGAUAUCUCUGAAAAAUGAAUUUUAUGAAAAACUAUUUAAAGCUUCUUAUUUUAGAGAACUAUUUAUCAUCCAAAAGCUUUUGUAAAAAAUGAUGAAAUAAGAUAAUUUAAGAAUUAUUUAAACCAUAUGUCAAACAAAAAAAAAUUAUUUAAACCAAUUUCUCAUUUGAAGCUUUUAUAAAAAAAAUUUAUUUAUUAAUUUUUUUAACAAGAAAACAAUACACAAUAAAAAUCAUUCUUCAAAAAAUCUAGAACAAAGGAGCUCUAUAACAUGAACUCUUGAAGAACUGACCAAAACCCAUUAUAGCAAUCAAGAGAUUAUACAUCAACUGCAUGUGGAUGCGGUAUUAAAAAUCUUACUUGGAGGUGGAAAACCAAAUGGGAUACCAAAGGCAUUGUUUACAAAAAGAAAUAAAGAAAGAAAAAUGAUGAAAAAAUAAACAAACAUGAUAUUUUGACCCAUAUUUUUUCUGAUUUGCAUGUAAUAAAUAUAAAACUUUUUUUAUCACUAUAUAACCGAAAAAUUC